GAGUUUGAUCAUGGCUCAGAUUGAACGCUGGCGGCAUGCCUUACACAUGCAAGUCGAACGGCAGCACGGGAGCUUGCUCCUGGUGGCGAGUGGCGAACGGGUGAGUAAUGCAUCGGAACGUAUCCUGGAGUGGGGGAUAACGUAGCGAAAGUUACGCUAAUACCGCAUAUUCUGUGAGCAGGAAAGCGGGGGACCUUCGGGCCUCGCGCUCUUGGAGCGGCCGAUGUCGGAUUAGCUAGUUGGUGAGGUAAAGGCUCACCAAGGCGACGAUCCGUAGCAGGUCUGAGAGGAUGAUCUGCCACACUGGAACUGAGACACGGUCCAGACUCCUACGGAGGCAGCAGUGGGGAAUUUGGACAAGUGGGGGCAACCCUGAUCCAGCCAUGCCGCGUGAGUGAAGAAGGCCUCGGUGUAAGUAC
RNAcentral lists this ribosomal RNA (419 nucleotides) under bacterium enrichment culture clone ALO1_GLFRUDD03F851D. Its description in RNAcentral is "bacterial SSU rRNA". It matches the Rfam family "Bacterial small subunit ribosomal RNA", at positions 9 to 431 of the family's 1533-position model. The record is from RNAcentral.